This 756-nucleotide unclassified non-coding RNA is filed under the name Hevea brasiliensis (rubber tree). The record is from RNAcentral. Lineage: Eukaryota; Viridiplantae; Streptophyta; Magnoliopsida; Malpighiales; Euphorbiaceae.
GUUAUCAAAAUUCUCCGGCAAUUCCGAGAUGGAGGGUUGGGAUCCGAGUACCAAAUCAACCCUUACACAGAUCCCUUUGUUAACAAUCAAAGCUGGUCCACGUGACGGCGCGGCAUGGACACAGCGGCUGAAGGAAGAAUACAAGGCUCUAAUCGCCUAUACAUCAAUGAACAAAUCCAAAGAUAAUGAUUGGUUCCGUAUAUCUGCGGCUAAUCCUGAAGGUACUCGUUGGAAGGGGAAGUGUUGGUAUGUGCAUAACCUUCUCAAGUACGAGUUUGACCUCCAGUUUGAUAUCCCUGUUACUUACCCUGCUACCGCUCCUGAACUUGAGUUGCCUGAACUUGAUGGCAAGACUGAAAAGAUGUACAGAGGAGGGAAAAUAUGCUUGACUGUGCAUUUCAAGCCGCUAUGGGCAAAGAAUUGCCCCAGAUUUGGCAUUGCACACGCGCUUUGUUUGGGUCUUGCACCAUGGCUUGCAGCUGAGAUUCCUGUUCUUGUUGAUUCUGGCAUGAUUAAACACAAAGAUGAUGUGGCCACAUCCAGUGAAUCUUGACAAGGGGAUGAUUUUUAGCAUGAUGAAACCUAAUCACCAAGAUAAAACUGUAAACUUAAUGGAGUUACUUGAAAGUGUAAUUUUCCCCUCACUUUGAGGAGUCAUAGUUUCAUGUUAUGUAAGCCGGGUGAACCCGGCUCUUUGAGAUGCAACUGUCACAUCUGCUGAUUUAUUUUAACGUGCUUUAUGCCCUCAAAUUUUAU